GUUGGAUUUCUGGUCGGAGCGACCGGUCGGCGUCCUUUGUGGCGNGUGCACUGUUGUCGGCUCCGUCCAUCCUAGUGGGAAGGCGCGUGGGCAUUCAUUUGUUCGCGCGUGGCCCCGCUACGUUUACUGUGAAAAAAUUAGAGUGUUUAAAGCAGGCGUUCGCUGUGAAUACAUUAGCAUGGAAUAAUGAGAUAGGACUUUGGUACUAUUUUGNUGGUUUGCGCACCAAGGCAAUGAUUAAUAGGGAUAGUUGGGGGUAUUCAUAUUCAAUUGUCAGAGGUGAAAUUCUUGGAUUUAUGGAAGAUGAGCUUAUGCNAAAGCAUUNACCAAGGAUGUUUUCAUUAAUCANGAACGAAAGUUAGGGGAUCGAAGAUGAUUAUGAUACCAUCGUNGUCUUAACCAUAAACUAUGCCGACUCGGGAUUGGACCUCGNUGCUUUAAUGACUGGUUCAGCACCGUNUGAGAAAUCAAAGUCUUUGGGNUC
This 484-nucleotide ribosomal RNA is filed under the name uncultured marine picoplankton. Its description in RNAcentral is "SSU rRNA". It matches the Rfam family "Eukaryotic small subunit ribosomal RNA", at positions 633 to 1114 of the family's 1831-position model. The record is from RNAcentral.